Leptonychotes weddellii (Weddell seal) is the source of this 377-nucleotide non-coding RNA. NCBI's taxonomy places the organism in Eukaryota, Metazoa, Chordata, Mammalia, Carnivora, Phocidae. The record is from RefSeq and is a predicted model, not a curated record.
GAGACAUCAGCAGUCUCUGCUUCAGCAGGUGACAGGGAGAAACUGCAGAAGGAUCUUGCAAGUAAGCAGAAAAGUGGCAGACCAACUGCACUGUGGAUAGGAGUAAGGUAACACCUGCGAUGACAUACACGAUCUAGAAGACUGGCAAAGAGGAUCAACCCCAAGCCCCCCGUUACAACUUCAGGACUGGAGCCAGGAGUCAGCAUGGAGGCAGCUAGGGGAUUGCAAACCCUCAGAAGAAGAGGAGAGGGGGGCUAUUCCCUGGAGUCUGGGCCCAGAUGGGAAGUGGGUCUCUAAGGCCGCUUGUCUCCGAGGAGGAUGCAGACCCGGAACUGUACCGUCUUCAGAGCUCCUAGAUAGCUCCUCUUCAAUGCAGG